UACGGAGGGUGCGAGCGUUAAUCGGAAUUACUGGGCGUAAAGCGCGCGUAGGCGGCCAAAUAAGUCGAUUGUGAAAGCCCCGGGCUUAACCUGGGAAUUGCAGUUGAUACUGUUUGGCUAGAGUGUGGUAGAGGAAAGCAGAAUUCCCGGUGUAGCGGUGAAAUGCGUAGAUAUCGGGAGGAAUACCAGUGGCGAAGGCGGCUUUCUGGACCAACACUGACGCUCAGGUGCGAAAGCGUGGGUAGCAAACAGG
This 253-nucleotide ribosomal RNA is filed under the name uncultured bacterium. Its description in RNAcentral is "partial 16S ribosomal RNA". It matches the Rfam family "Bacterial small subunit ribosomal RNA", at positions 524 to 776 of the family's 1533-position model. The record is from RNAcentral.